UACGGGGGGGGCAAGCGUUGUUCGGAAUUACUGGGCGUAAAGGGCUCGUAGGUGGCCAACUAAGUCAGACGUGAAAUCCCUCGGCUUAACCGGGGAACUGCGUCUGAUACUGGAUGGCUUGGAUUCGGGAGAGGAAUGCGGAAUUCCAGGUGUAGCGGUGAAAUGCGCAGAUAUCAGGAGGAACACCUAUUGCGAAGGCAGCUCGCUGGGACGUAACUGACGCUGAGACGCGAAAGCGUGGGGAGCAAACAGG
Molecule: ribosomal RNA, 253 nt
Filed under: uncultured bacterium
Lineage: Bacteria
Description: partial 16S ribosomal RNA
Rfam family: Bacterial small subunit ribosomal RNA
Source: RNAcentral